GAAAGUAAGUAAGGGCGUAUGGGGGAUGCCUAGGCUCUUGGAGGCUAAGAAGGACGUGGUAAGCUGCGAAAAGCUGCGGGGAUUUGCAAACGAGACUCGAUCCGCAGAUAUCCGAAUGGGACAACCCGGCAGGUAGAAGACCUGUCACACCGCGAGGUGAGCUAACCCUCUGAACUGAAACAUCUAAGUAGGAGGAGGAAAAGAAAGAAACAUCGAUUUCCAAAGUAGCGGCGAGCGAAAUGGAAGAAGCCCAAACCGAUAUUGUUACGGCAAUAUCGGGGUUGUAGGACUGCAAUAUUCAAUUAACAAUGAACUGGAAUGGUCUGGAAAGUCCAUCCAUAGAGAGUGAAAGGCUCGUACAGGUAAGUUUGUUAUGCGAAAGCAGUAUCCUGAGUAUGGCGGGACACGAGGAAUCCUGUCAGAAUCAGCCGGGACCACCCGGUAAGGCUAAAUACUCCCAAGAGACCGAUAGUGGACCAGUACUGUGAAGGAAAGGUGAAAAGAACCCCGAACAGGGGAGUGAAAUAGAACCUGAAACCAUACGCUUACAACCGGUCGGAGCAGCUUCGUGCUGUGACGGCGUGCCUAUUGAAUAAUGAGCCUACGAGUUACUAAUCACUAGCGAGGUUAAGUGCAAGGAUGCACGGAGCCGAAGCGAAAGCGAGUCUGAACAGGGCGUUUAGUUAGUGGUUGUAGACGCGAAACCUUGCGAUCUACCCUUGAGCAGGUUGAAGGUUGGGUAAAACCAACUGGAGGACCGAACGAAUAAGCGUUGAAAAGCUUCUCGAUGACUUGAGGGUAGGGGUGAAAGGCUAAUCAAGCUGGGAAAUAGCUCGUACUCCCCGAAAUGCCUUUUGGGGCAGCGUUGUAAUAAAGAGUCUACUGGAGGUAGAGCUACUGAUUGGAUGCGGGGGCUUCACCGCCUACCAAAUCCUGACAAACUCCGAAUGCCAGUAGUAUGAUUUACAGCAGUGAGUGACUGGGUGCUAAUGUCCAGUCGCAAAAGAGGAACAACUCAGACCAGCAACUAAGGUCCCGAAGAAUAUGCUAAGUUGAUCUAACGAUGUUUUGUUGCAGAGACAGCUAGGAUGUUAGCUUGGAAGCAGCUAUUCAUUCAAAGAGUGCGUAACAGCUCACUAGUCGAGCGACAGAGCGUGGAUAAUAAACGGGCAUCAAGCAUAUCACCGAAGUUCUGGGCGCGAGAGCGCGGUAGGGGAGCAUUCCAUUCAGCGUCGAAGCAGUUUCGUGAGGAAUUGUGGAGCGUAUGGAAAAGCAAAUGUAGGCAUGAGUAACGAUAAUGCGGGAGAGUAACCCGCACACCGCAAGACCAAGGUUUCCUGAUCAACGCUAAUCGGAUCAGGGUUAGUCGGGUCCUAAGGGUAAGCCGAACGGCGAUCUCGAUGGAUAAUCGGUUAAUAUUCCGAUACUAACAUAUACCUCGAUGGAGAGACGAAGGAACGUAAGUGCCGCCACCUGACGGAAUAGGUGGUUAAAGGGCGUAGAUAUAGGGGCAGAUUAAGAGUUAGUCCUUGCUGAAACCUGACAGUACAGAGAGCCUACGGGCAAUUUGAUAGAGCACCCAAGUCGACUUCCGAGAAAAUCUUCUAAGUUAUAGUAUAUGUUACCCGUACCGUAAACCGACACAGGUGGUCGAGGAGAGUAUCCUAAGGUGCUCGAGUGAAUCACGGUUAAGGAACUAGGCAAAUUAACCCCGUAACUUCGGGAAAAGGGGUCCCUAUGAAAGUAGGGCGCAGCGAAGAGGUCCAGGCGACUGUUUAUCAAAAACACAGGGCUCUGCAAAUUCGAAAGAAGACGUAUAGGGCCUGACACCUGCCCGGUGCUGGAAGGUUAAGAGGGGAUGUCAUCGCAAGAGAAGCAUUGAAUCGAAGCCCCAGUAAACGGCGGCCGUAACUAUAACGGUCCUAAGGUAGCGAAAUUCCUUGUCGGGUAAGUUCCGACCUG
This 1962-nucleotide ribosomal RNA is filed under the name human gut metagenome. RNAcentral describes it as "bacterial LSU rRNA". It matches the Rfam family "Bacterial large subunit ribosomal RNA", at positions 1 to 1990 of the family's 2925-position model. The record is from RNAcentral.